Molecule: non-coding RNA, 737 nt
Organism: Pelodiscus sinensis (Chinese soft-shelled turtle)
Lineage: Eukaryota; Metazoa; Chordata; Testudines; Trionychidae
Source: the annotation of a RefSeq genome assembly
UGGUGCCAACAAUAAGCUCAUCUUCGGGCAGGGGACAUCCGUGAAAGUAAUUCCUGAGCUCGACAACUCUCCACCCAGCAUCUACCCUCUGACGUCGGACAACAAGAAUCUGUUGGCCUGCCUGGUCACAGACUUCUUCCCCGGCAACAUCUCGGUUGGGAGCAGACACAAUGCCAAACUCACAUCCCUCAAUGCCUCCCUCGUGGUGAUGAAGGGCUCUGGGGAAGCGAGCUACGGGACGGUGCUCUGGGGGCCCAGGGACGAGCUGGCCUGCACCGCUGACCAUGACAACCAAAACUUUCAGUUGACAGACUUCGACGAGGAAGAUGACACCUGCAUGAUCGUGGAGAUGGACGAGAACUUCGAAACAGAUAAGAACCUGAACUUCCUGUCGCUCACCCUGCUGGGCCUGAGAAUCGUUUUCGUGAAAACCGUGGCCAUCAACCUGCUCCUCACCCUCUCCCAGUGGAAGAGAUAAGGCGGCGAAACGCGGGGAGAGCCGCUCCGAGACCCGCGCCCCCACGCCGCAGGAGGAGGACACGCGCGGUGCCCGCCGCCGACCCACCGCGCUGCCACCCGCUUCGCCCAUGGCCCUGCCAGCCGCUUGCUCGUCGCUCGCCCGGCUCCACGAACGCUUCGUGUUCGGAUGGAAAAGGACGUUUGCCCUGCUUUUGGCCAGACAAUCCCCAUUUUCCCGGGGAAGCCUCCCCCUUCCCAGCAGACACCCCACCCCCUGG